GACGAACGCUGGCGGCGUGCCUAAUACAUGCAAGUUGAGCGCUGAAGGUUGGUACUUGUACCAACUGGAUGAGCAGCGAACGGGUGAGUAACGCGUGGGGAAUCUGCCUUUGAGCGGGGGACAACAUUUGGAAACGAAUGCUAAUACCGCAUAAAAACUUUAAACACAAGUUUUAAGUUUGAAAGAUGCAAUUGCAUCACUCAAAGAUGAUCCUGCGUUGUAUUAGCUAGUUGGUGAGGUAAAGGCUCACCAAGGCGAUGAUACAUAGCCGACCUGAGAGGGUGAUCGGCCACAUUGAGACUGAGACACGGCCCAAACUCCGACGGGAGGCAGCAGUAGGGAAUCUUCGGCAAUGGACGAAAGUCUGACCGAGCAACGCCGCGUGAGUGAAGAAGGUUUUCGGAUCGUAAAACUCUGUUGGUAGAGAAGAACGUUGGUGAGAGUGGAAAGCUCAUCAAGUGACGGUAACUACCCAGAAAGGGACGGCUAACUACGUG
This 497-nucleotide ribosomal RNA is filed under the name uncultured bacterium. RNAcentral's name for it is "partial 16S ribosomal RNA". It matches the Rfam family "Bacterial small subunit ribosomal RNA", at positions 28 to 507 of the family's 1533-position model. The record is from RNAcentral.